Molecule: ribosomal RNA, 403 nt
Filed under: Stenella coeruleoalba (striped dolphin)
Lineage: Eukaryota; Metazoa; Chordata; Mammalia; Artiodactyla; Delphinidae
Description: partial 12S ribosomal RNA
Rfam family: Bacterial small subunit ribosomal RNA
Source: RNAcentral
GCUUAGUCGUAAACUUAAAUAAUCCUAAAACAAGAUUAUUCGCCAGAGUACUAUCGGCAACAGCCCAAAACUCAAAGGACUUGGCGGUGCUUCAUAUCCUUCUAGAGGAGCCUGUUCUGUAAACGAUAAACCACGAUUAACCUCACCAAUCCUUGCUACUUCAGUCUAUAUACCGCCAUCUUCAGCAAACCCUAAAAAAGGAACGAAAGUAAGCACAACUACUGCACGUAAAAACGUUAGGUCAAGGUGUAACCUAUGGAUUGGGAAGAAAUGGGCUACAUUUUCUAUAAUAAGAACACCCCUUAAACUCACACGAAAGUUUUUAUGAAACCUAAAAACUAAAGGAGGAUUUAGCAGUAAAUUAAGAAUAGAAUGCUUAAUUGAAUAAGGCCAUGAAGCACGC